Molecule: long non-coding RNA, 1587 nt
Organism: Acipenser ruthenus (sterlet)
Lineage: Eukaryota; Metazoa; Chordata; Actinopteri; Acipenseriformes; Acipenseridae
Exons: 3
Source: RefSeq, a predicted model, not a curated record
GAGGUUGUAAAUUGCAGAAAUGAAACUCGGCUCUCGCUAGAACCAAAAAUCAAGUGUCGAUAUAGAAGGAUCAGAUUAGAGACAAUGUGACCCAAUUUAUUCACAAUUACAAGACUAGGGUUACUAACAUUCAGUCGUUCUGAAGAUCGUGAAACACUGGCAUGUCAUGUAAACUGAUCAUUUUCAUUUUAGAUGAAUUGCAUCUCUGGAAGAAAUGGGAAGUUUAAAGCAAUGGUGUGCAUAAAGCUAUAUGAUGGUCUGGUAAGCAAUUCCUUUAUUAAACAUUUCCAUAUAUUACAUGACUUUUUUUUUGUGUUAAUUUAAAAAAAAAUGUACAACACUUGCUAAAAUGUACAAAUUUUUCGUUUGACCAUUUUGAAGAAAUAAAAUUAUUGUUUGAACUAUUUUGACUACAUCUGUAGGGCUACUGAUUUUCAGCAAUCGGAAUCACAAAAUUUUGCAGUGUUGUCUUUCUCCUCGCAACUCCAGUUUUCUGCAGGGUUUAUUUUUGCACUACACCCAGCCAAGUUGAGUUAAUUCGUCAUGUGACUUCACUUGCGUGUCUCUGCUGAAACUCAACAUGGCGGCUGCACCAACGAAGAAAAAAAAUGCAAAAGACAGCGAAAACAUUUUCUGAUUAUCUAUAUGAGGAUGUUGGUUACUAUUUUGCAAAUGUUGUUGUCAUUCGAUUGAUCAUGUACGAGUCAAUACCAUUAAAGGUCAUUGCCAGCCGUAAACACAUAUAGAACAAGAAAGCUAAAAACAUGGCAACAAAAAAUGACAAAGCACUGCAUUCUUAUAUGCUGAAAAACUUGGACCCGAGGUACUGCGCUCAAGGCAGGGUUUUACCCUAGUAAGUAAGCUAAAUUGAUUGCAUGUUUUAGUUUCUUUACACUCUACCUGCAUUUAAUAAAGCUAUAAUUAGUCUUGUUAAGCCAUGUCUGUUUCUUAAUUAAAUUAUAUUAUCUGCUGAUGAAGACAAGCUCAAAGCUAUUUUUCUAGCUAUGCAUUCCUUAAAGGAAAUUGAUCACUUUACUGUAUAAAGGAUGUAGUCACUACACUACAGAGUUUGUUUCAUAAAGACAUUCUGUCCUGAGACACACCUAGUUACAUGUUGCAAAUAACAAGACAGAAUUAGCAAAUAAACAAUUAAUUAUGCAUUUACAUUAAAAGGGGCUCUAUUUAAAUUACAAUCUGGUGAUACUCAGCCGUGAAUCUGUGUAGCAACACAUCAGUCAACGCGCCUUUUGUAUCAGUGUUUCAUGUUUUAACCUGGUUGUAUUGUAAUGCUAGUAAAACGCUUAACUUUUGUGGAGUACUGUAAAUGGGAUUACUCUCACAUGACAUUGUUGGACUUACUGAACUGUAAUAUUUUAUUGUUGUAAUACCAGCAAUAGGUUUCUUUUCAGAACACUUAUUUAUAGACUGAACUACAGUGUUAGUGGAAGACUGUAAAUAUGAUUCUCACAACAGUGCUGGACCUUUGUUUUCUGAACUGUUGUAAUGCAAUUAAUUUUUUUAACUGCCAAGUGAGGUUUAUAAAUAUUAUGACAUUUAAGGUACUUUACUUAUUAUUACAUCAACAAG